This 385-nucleotide ribosomal RNA is filed under the name uncultured bacterium. RNAcentral's name for it is "bacterial SSU rRNA". It matches the Rfam family "Bacterial small subunit ribosomal RNA", at positions 113 to 510 of the family's 1533-position model. The record is from RNAcentral.
ACACGUGACUAACCUACCCUAUGAGUGGGGGAUAACCUCGGGAAACCGGUGGCUAAUACCGCAUAACAUCGCAAGGGGAAGCUCCUUGCGAUCAAAGAAGCAAUUCGCUCAAGGAGGGGGUCGCGGCUGAUUAGCUAGUUGGUGAGGUAACGGCCCACCAAGGCUAAGAUCAGUAGCCGGCCUGAGAGGGCGCACGGCCACACUGGAACUGAAACACGGUCCAAGACUCCUACGGGAGGCAGCAGUGGGGAAUUUUGCGCAAUGGGGGAAACCCUGACGCAGCAACCGCCGCGUGGAGGAUGAAGUCCCUUGUGGAUGUAAACUCCUUUCGAUCGGGACGAUUAUCACGGUACCGGAAGAAGAAGCACCGGGUAACUCUGUGCCA